RNAcentral lists this ribosomal RNA (500 nucleotides) under uncultured bacterium. RNAcentral describes it as "partial 16S ribosomal RNA". It matches the Rfam family "Bacterial small subunit ribosomal RNA", at positions 30 to 523 of the family's 1533-position model. The record is from RNAcentral.
AUUGAACGCUGGCGGCAUGCCUUACACAUGCAAGUCGAACGGCAGCACGGGAGCAAUCCUGGUGGCGAGUGGCGAACGGGUGAGUAAAGUAUCGGAACGUGCCCAGUCGUGGGGGAUAACGUAGCGAAAGUUACGCUGAUACCGCAUACGAUCUAUGGAUGAAAGCGGGGGAUCGCAAGACCUCGCGCGAUUGGAGCGGCCGAUAUCAGAUUAGGUAGUUGGUGGGGUAAAGGCUCACCAAGCCGACGAUCUGUAGCUGGUCUGAGAGGACGACCAGCCACACUGGGACUGAGAUACGGCCCAGACUCCUACGGGAGGCAGCAGUGGGGAAUUUUGGACAAUGGGCGAAAGCCUGAUCCAGCCAUGCCGCGUGCAGGAUGAAGGCCUUCGGGUUGUAAACUGCUUUUGUACGGAACGAAAAGGUUUGGGCUAAUAAGCUGAGCUCAUGACGGUACCGUAAGAAUAAGCACCGGCUAACUACGUGCCAGCCGCCGCGGUAA